Pundamilia nyererei is the source of this 2090-nucleotide RNA transcript. It is a transcript of the gene named CCR4-NOT transcription complex, subunit 11, with no coding region annotated. NCBI's taxonomy places the organism in Eukaryota, Metazoa, Chordata, Actinopteri, Cichliformes, Cichlidae. The transcript has 8 exons. The record is from RefSeq and is a predicted model, not a curated record.
CGCUUUUCGAGUCUAAAAUUGCUGCUUUCCUAUAGAUUACUUAAACGAGUUUAUUUUAAGGGGGAAGUGAAACGCCACUGUACGAAACUACAUUACCCGUAAUGCAGCUCGGUAUGACCGACGUACUGUCGUGAAUUUAAACUGCUAAUACGUCGGUCACCGACUCUCAACAGUCGUGAAAACACCUGGACAAACUUGGAUGUUUCUAUCGGUUAAUGUUUUGUUAGUUUUUGUAAGACUGUUAUGCAGUUUCAGCACCGGGCAGAGUGGAGUUUGUGGGGCGGAUUAUUCGACUGUGAAAAUGCCGCUUUAUGUCAGUUAGCGCCGCAAUGCUAGUUAAGCUAACUUUUUGCUAACAACUCGUUUGAUCAUUUUCAUUCUGUAGCUUUUCAGAUUUGCUCUUCAAAUAUGAAUUAAACGCACCCGGUUCGUUGCGAGGAUGCUGUAUUUGCUAUAUUAGCUAUUUAAACAAACAAAAAAAAUAGUCUCAUAACGGUUCCGCCCAAGCAGAAAAGAUUCAGUUGAGGAAACCAUGACACUCGCUCCGAAGGAACUGUCCAACCUGCUGAGCAUCAUCUCGGAAGAGGCUUGCACCAACUCCUUCGAAAGCCUCUCCACUCACUUUCAUCAUUACUUCGGGAAAGCGGAGCACUUCAGGGUCGGCUCGGUGUUGGUGAUGCUUCUGCAGCAACCGGACCUGCUGCCCAGCUCCUCGCAGCGGCUCAUCGCCCUCUACCUGCUGUGGGAGAUGUACCGCACCGAGCCAUUGGCCGCUAACCCUUUCGCCGCUGUUUUCGCGCACCUGCUGAACCCCGCACCUGCCGGAGAGGAGCAGGAGAAGGUGCUGUCCGGCUUCCUGCCUCCCAUCACCCAACCUGAGAAGUUCUUCCUGUCCCAACUGAUGUUGGCACCUCCCAGGGAUCUCUUCAAAAAGACACCCAGACAGGUGUCCUGCAUGGAUGUUGGCAACAUGCCCCAGUCUGUAGACAUCAGCGGGUUGCAGCUAGCGUUGGCAGAGCGUCAGUCAGAGUUGCCCACUCAGAGUAAGGCCAGUUUCCCAAGCAUUCUCAAUGAUCCAGACCCAGACUCAUCCAACUCAGGAUUCGACAGCUCUGUGGCCAACCAGAUCAUUGAGUCUCUGGUCACAGGCCCACGCCCUCCCCUGGAAAGUCACUUCCGCCCUGAGUUCAUCCGGCCGCCGCCUCCUCUCCACGUCUGUGAGGACGAGCUGGCGUGGCUGAACCCCACCGAGCCAGAUCACAGCAUCCAGUGGGAUCGCUCCAUGUGUGUGAAGAACAGCACCGGCGUGGAGAUCAAACGCAUCAUGUCCAAGGCCUUCAAGAGCCCGCUGUCUGCACAGCAGCAAUCACAGCUGCUGGCUGAGCUGGAGAAGGACCCGAAGCUGGUUUACCACAUCGGUCUGUCUCCGGUGAAGCUGCCUGACCUGGUUGAGAACAACCCGCUGGUGGCCAUCGAGAUGCUGCUAAAGCUGAUGCAGAGCAGCCAGAUCACAGAAUAUUUCUCAGUGCUGGUCAACAUGGACAUGUCGCUGCACUCCAUGGAGGUCGUCAACAGGUUGACCACAGCUGUGGAUUUGCCUCCUGAGUUUAUCCACCUCUACAUCUCUAACUGCAUCUCCACCUGUGAGCAAAUCAAAGACAAAUACAUGCAGAAUCGUCUGGUCCGUCUGGUCUGUGUCUUCCUGCAGUCGCUCAUCCGGAACAAGAUUAUCAAUGUUCAGGACCUCUUCAUCGAGGUUCAGGCUUUCUGCAUCGAGUUCAGCCGCAUCCGCGAGGCCGCUGGCCUCUUCCGCCUCCUCAAGACUCUGGACACUGGAGAAAACCCCACUGAGGCCAAACCUGCCAAAUAAUACUCGUCAUAGAUGCUACACGGGCGGGACUGAAGCAGCGGCUAAACGAGGACGGUUUGCUCUAAUGCACACUCGUAGUGUCCCUGUACAUCACAGAAGGAGAAGACUGUGCAGUCCAGGUGUGCCUGAAGGACAGCAGCAUUUCCUUUUUUCCCAGUGCUCUCCCCUUUGGAAAAUGAAACCUCCUGAGUUUGUUUCAUUAAAGAGAUCGUUUAUUUGA